Molecule: long non-coding RNA, 1131 nt
Filed under: Macaca fascicularis (crab-eating macaque)
Lineage: Eukaryota; Metazoa; Chordata; Mammalia; Primates; Cercopithecidae
Description: lncRNA (ENSMFAG00000061932.1)
Source: RNAcentral
GUGCUAGAGAUUCGUUAGUAAACAAAACAGGAAUAUUCGUUUACAAUGUGGAGCUUUCAAUGUUCUGACCCUGUUGACCUUCCUUCUUCGAAUUUCAUGAACUCGCUUACUUCUGGUUAGUGAAAUCACUGAUGGUUCUUUUAAUGCUGAUUCCUCCCCCCAUGAUUGUACUCAGGGCCCUCUCUUUCCCUGAUGAUUGAUUUUCUUGAUACUUCGUGGGUGAUUUCAUAUGGCUAAGACUUUCAGGUUGUCAUCUGCCCAUACACAGAAGAAGUCCUGAGGGAACCCACGAGUUUCCUCUCACUGCUUCUAUGCUGUGUAGACACCUUCUCCAGUUAGAAAACCAUCACUAAGGAGCUUCCAUGAUCAUGGUGGAGGCGGCAAAUAGUGUGUAUUUUGUAGGGAGGAGGCAGCGAGGACAAGUUGCCUCUAUCCACUUUAGCCAGAAGAUUAGUACUGAUUUCUAAAACUUUCAAAUUUGUCUUUAAAAAAAUUGCACCCAUAUAGCAUAUACAUUUAGUUGUAUGCACACACACACUCACAUAAACUUCUUCGUAUACAGUGAUUUAGUAUAAUCAUAGGACGAUUGUAUUUUCCUUUUGUUUGUAACAACUUUAUUGAGAUAUAAUUGGCAUAUAAUGAACUGAUCAUGUUUAAACUAUACAACUUGAUAAGUUUUGACAUGCAUACACCUAUAGAACCUACACAAUCAAGGUAAUGAACAGGCCAGGUGUGAUGGCUUACACCUGUAAUCCCAGCAUUUUGGAAGGCUGAGGAAACAGAAUCACUUGAGCCUAGAAGUUCAAAAUGAGCCUGGGCAACACUGGAGAACUCUCUCACCACAAAAAAAUUAAAAAUUAACUGGGUAUGUUGGUUCGUAUCUGUAGUCCCAGCUACUCAGGAGGCUGAGGUGGGCAGAUUGCUUGAGCCCAGGAGGUCAAGACUGCAGUAAGCCGUGAUGAUGACACCAUAUUUUAGCUUGGGUGACAGAGUGACAUUCCAUCUCAAAGAAAAAAAUGAACGUAUCCAUCACUCCCAAAAGUUUCCUCCUGUCUCUUUGUGAUUCCUUUCUCGCCCACCUCCCUUCUGUCUCCACCCCAGCUUAUUCCCUAGCAAGAAAAAAAAAAAAAA